RNAcentral lists this non-coding RNA (30 nucleotides) under Rattus norvegicus (Norway rat). Lineage: Eukaryota; Metazoa; Chordata; Mammalia; Rodentia; Muridae. The record is from RNAcentral.
UGAAAUUAAAUUCUAAUUUCUCUGUCAGAU